UCGAGAAUUUUUCUCAAUGGGGGAAACCCUGAAGGAGCGACGCCGCGUGGAGGAUGAAGGCUUUCGGGUUGUAAACUCCUGUCAUUUGGGAACAAGGCGCCGAUAUUAACUGUAUCGGCGUUGAUAGUACCAGAAGAGGAAGAGACGGCUAACUCUGUGCCAGCAGCCGCGGUAAUACAGAGGUCUCAAGCGUUGUUCGGAUUCAUUGGGCGUAAAGGGUGCGUAGGUGGCGCUGUAAGUCGGGUGUGAAAUUUCGGAGCUUAACUCCGAAACUGCAUUCGAUACUGCGGUGCUUGAGGACUGGAGAGGAGACUGGAAUUCAUGGUGUAGCAGUGAAAUGCGUAGAGAUCAUGAGGAAGACCAGUGGCGAAGGCGGGUCUCUGGACAGUUCCUGACACUGAGGCACGAAGGCCAGGGGAGCAAACGGG
This 428-nucleotide ribosomal RNA is filed under the name uncultured bacterium. RNAcentral describes it as "bacterial SSU rRNA". It matches the Rfam family "Bacterial small subunit ribosomal RNA", at positions 355 to 776 of the family's 1533-position model. The record is from RNAcentral.